AGAGAGAGACCUCAACAUGACAAGUGAUAACGAAAUCGAAACAAGGAUGUGCAGUGGGAAAGACAUUACGAAAUUUACCUACUGGGUGGCCUCGCCCUGUGUGACCGUCCCUUCGGUGUUCCGCAGGGCCCAAGGAGAGGGAAAGAAAUGUUGACAGACAAAGCAACAGGUCCUGAGGAAUCUAUGGCACCUAACAGUCACCUACAGAAUAAGGUGGACGAGCAUCUUGAGGAGAAGAAUAAGGUCCUGUCAACCCACCGGAUGUAAAGGCUCUUCGAUGCUCUUAUGUUGACUUAAGGAUAAAGAAACGGGAGAUCAGGAACGCCACAGAAGCAACACUCGUCACUUCACGCCUCAAAGAUUUCACCCACACCAUUCAUCUUGCAUUACUAUCGAC
Long non-coding RNA from Eriocheir sinensis (Chinese mitten crab), 397 nucleotides. RefSeq lists it as uncharacterized. NCBI's taxonomy places the organism in Eukaryota, Metazoa, Arthropoda, Malacostraca, Decapoda, Varunidae. The record is from RefSeq and is a predicted model, not a curated record. The transcript has 4 exons.